This 325-nucleotide ribosomal RNA is filed under the name uncultured bacterium. RNAcentral describes it as "bacterial SSU rRNA". It matches the Rfam family "Bacterial small subunit ribosomal RNA", at positions 28 to 346 of the family's 1533-position model. The record is from RNAcentral.
GAUGAACGCUAGCGACAGGCUUAACACAUGCAAGUCGAGGGGCAGCAUAAAAGUAGCAAUACUUUGGUGGCGACCGGCGCACGGGUGAGUAACGCGUAUGCAACCUACCUAUCAGAGGGGAAUAACCCGGCGAAAGUCGGACUAAUACCGCAUAAAACAGGGACACCGCAUGGUGAUAUUUGUUAAAGAAAUUCGCUGAUAGAUGGGCAUGCGUUUCCAUUAGGUAGUUGGUGAGGUAACGGCUCACCAAGCCGAGAUGGAUAGGGGAACCUGAGAGGUUGGUCCCCCACACUGGUACUGAGACACGGACCAGACUCCUACGGGA